CGUAUUCAGUGCUGAAGACGAUGGCAGC
RNAcentral lists this non-coding RNA (28 nucleotides) under Homo sapiens (human). Lineage: Eukaryota; Metazoa; Chordata; Mammalia; Primates; Hominidae. The record is from RNAcentral.